AGUUCAUGCGAGAUCUGAUUGUUUAAAAGAGUGCAGCACUUCCUCCACCUUGCUCCCUCUCUUGCCACUGAUGUGCCUGCUUCCCCUUCACCUUCUGCCUGGAUUGUAAGCUCCCUGAGAACCUCACCAGAAGCAGAUGCCAGCACCACGCUUCCUAUACAGCCUGCCAAAAUGUGAGCCAAUUAAACCUCUUUUCUUUAUAAAUUACCCAGUCUUGGGUCCUUUAAAGCAACGCACAAAUUAACUAACACAAUUGCCUUUACUUAUUCUCCCGUAAGUGGUCUUCAUUUAUUUUCACACUUCCAUUCAGUUUCUUUUUGCAAUCAUAGGUCUGUUUAACUCAUGAAAUCUCUUUAAGUCUUCUUUCUAAAAUACAAAGUCUUAGGCCGGUUGCGGUGGCUCACGCCUGUAAUCCCAGCACUUUGGGAGGCUGAGGCAGGUGGGUCAUGAGGUCAGGAGAUCAAGGACAUCCUGGCCAACAUGGUGAAACCCCAUCUCUACUAAAAAUACAGAAAAAAAAAAAAAACUUAGGUGUGGUGGCGGGCGCCUGUAGUCCCAGCUACUCAGGAGGCUGAGGCAGGUGAAUGGCGUGAACCCAGGAGGCGAAGCUUGCAGUGAGCUGAGAUCAUGCCACUGCACUCCAGUCUGGGCGACAGAGCGAGACUCUUGUCUCAAAAAAAAAAAAAAAUUUUAGGCACUAUCUUCCAGAUUUAUUCCAUUUAUACAUUUAGUCAAUUGCCUUCCAGGUAUUACCAUUGAUAAUAACCUUGAGCAGCAAGGUUUAGAUGUAGAAUAAAGCUCUAUAGCAUUCAAGACCUUCCUUCAAGGGAUACGGCCACUAGUCCAUGCCCCUUGACCGGGACAGUAACCAAGGCGUUGCUGCCCACCUUGCUGUACUGCUGACCAGGUCAUAUGUUUGUGGACAAACUUAGGGAGAUUUAUGAAAUCUUUGCCAUGGACAAUAAAUAAGCAGUAGUGCCUCUGGCAUUCCCCUGAUCUAGUGACCUAAACAACUCACUAAGAA
This 1024-nucleotide long non-coding RNA is filed under the name Homo sapiens (human). RNAcentral's name for it is "non-protein coding lnc-BECN2-2:2". The record is from RNAcentral. Lineage: Eukaryota; Metazoa; Chordata; Mammalia; Primates; Hominidae.